UUACCAGUGACCCCCGGCUUCGGCCGGGGAUGAUCAUAACCCUUUGCUGUCCGACUCUGUUGCCUCCGGGGCGACCCUGCCUCCGGGCGGGGGCCCCGGGUGGACACAUUCAAACUCUUGCGUAACUUUGCAGUCUGAGUAAAUUUAAUUAAUAAAUUAAAACUUUCAACAACGGAUCUCUUGGUUCUGGCAUCGAUGAAGAACGCAGCGAAAUGCGAUAAGUAAUGUGAAUUGCAGAAUUCAGUGAAUCAUCGAAUCUUUGAACGCACAUUGCGCCCCCUGGUAUUCCGGGGGGCAUGCCUGUUCGAGCGUCAUUUCACCACUCAAGCCUCGCUUGGUAUUGGGCGACGCGGUCCGCCGCGCGCCUCAAAUCGACCGGCUGGGUCUUCUGUCCCCUCAGCGUUGUGGAAACUAUUCGCUAAAGGGUGCCACGGGAGGUCACGCCGUAAAACAAGCCCAUUUCUAAGGUUGACCUCGGAUCAGGUAGGGAUACCCGCUGAACUUAAGCAUAUCAAUAAGCGGAGGAAAAGAAACCAACAGGGAUUGCUCUAGUAACGGCGAGUGAAGCAGCAAUAGCUCAAAUUUGAAAUCUGGCGUCUUCGGC
This 604-nucleotide ribosomal RNA is filed under the name fungal endophyte. RNAcentral describes it as "eukaryotic LSU rRNA". The stretch from base 161 to 314 matches the Rfam family "5.8S ribosomal RNA". The record is from RNAcentral. Lineage: Eukaryota; Fungi.